RNAcentral lists this ribosomal RNA (578 nucleotides) under uncultured bacterium. RNAcentral's name for it is "bacterial SSU rRNA". It matches the Rfam family "Bacterial small subunit ribosomal RNA", at positions 912 to 1499 of the family's 1533-position model. The record is from RNAcentral.
GACGGGGACCCGCACAAGCAGCGGAGCAUGUGGUUUAAUUCGAAGCAACGCGAAGAACCUUACCAGGUCUUGACAUCCCUCUGAAACCCCUGAUAACGAAGGGGCCCUCUUCGGAGCAGAGGAGACAGGUGGUGCAUGGUUGUCGUCAGCUCGUGUCGUGAGAUGUUGGGUUAAGUCCCGCAACGAGCGCAACCCUUGCCGAUAGUUGCCAUCAUUAAGUUGGGCACUCUAUCGGGACUGCCGGGGACAACUCGGAGGAAGGUGGGGAUGACGUCAAAUCAUCAUGCCCCUUAUGAUCUGGGCUACACACGUGCUACAAUGGUCGGUACAAAAAGCAGCGAUCCCGUGAGGAGGAGCAAAUCUCAAAAAACCGAUCCCAGUUCGGACUGUAGGCUGCAACUCGCCUACACGAAGUCGGAGUUGCUAGUAAUCGUGGAUCAGAAUGCCACGGUGAAUGCGUUCCCGGGUCUUGUACACACCGCCCGUCACACCACGGAAGUUGGGGGUGCCCGAAGUUGGCAAGCAAAUAUGUUACCUAAGGCAAAACCGAUGACUGGGGUGAAGACGUAACAAGGUAG